AGUGAAUGCCUUAAGCAUAGGGUCAUGCCAGCAUUUAUUCUUUCUGUUAAAAAAGCAGUUGAGUCUUUAUGCUGCUGAACCAAGAGCAUGUUAAAGGAACAUGUCUAUAGGAUACAAGGACAUUAUCUGAUCUUCAGGUCUUGUUUAAGCAAAUUAUUCUUGCAGAAAAAUCAAUGGGUAGAAAAUCUGUUUAGACACAGGACUCUUAGGAGAAGGCCCACAGAGUGGGAGAUAUCGUCCCUUGGCGGGGGCAUAAGCAGGCUCCUUCUCCCCAGGGGGCCAUGCAGGCAGUGAGGGACUGGCGGGAUGUGUGGUGGUUGAGGCCUCAUCCCUCUGCUGCCUCUGGCUCGCCUCAGCGGCUGAGAAGAAAGCAGGACAUGGUGCAGCUGCCUCCCCAAAAGGGAAAAGGGAUUAAACCCCUGAGCCCUCCCAGCUGCAUAUUCAACACUUUUUCUUCUAAAGUACAAAAAUACUCAACUUGUAUUUUCUUCCUCAGCCUGCAAAGAACAUAAGGGAUUCCAGGAUUAAGAAAAACAACCAUUACAAUUAACUCUGAGAAAAAUAUAAUACUUAGUUUUAGAAACACAAUGGCAAAACGCUGCACUGAUAUUUAACCAGAACAUUGAACCACUUCACUGUGCUGAAUAUGUAAGCAGACUUUGUCAUCCUAUUUCAAAACUAACAGCCAUCUCAUCUCUUUACCCCUCAGCUGAUUACAGUUCUGAUUUACACCACCAAUGCAUGAAACAAUCCCAUUUACCAUUUGAUGGUAAUUUUAAUUGAGAAAGCAGAAACACAAGGAUGAUAUUGGCUCAGACAAAUGGAGACAGACAAGUAUGAACUUUCCAUUAUUCUGAAUGCUGGUUGUAAAUGUUUUUCCUCUUAUGAACUCUGACUUGUCAUGGUUUGGAAAAUCAUUACAACAAAUAGCUGCAGAUGCCAUUCAGUGUAUAUUACAUGACUGUUGGGCUCCUCUUCUGUAUCUUUCAGUGGAAUUUCAGCCAAUCUGUGUGAUCAUUUCUAAUCAGCCUCAUAACUUUUGCCUUUAGAACUUCUUUGCUGCAGUGUAGUGGUAAUGUGCCAAACCAAAAUAUAGUGCUAGAUUUCUUCUAAUUUUCCUGCCACUUUAUAGAAAGUAUAUUCCUUCUCAAAGUAGUUUAUUAUUCCUGAAAGGUGCUGGAAUGACAGACCUCCUGAUUCACAUCUCCAGCCACACAACAGAAAGAGAAUGAUAAGCAACAACACAGCUACGCCAUGACUACCAUCCAUCCUAACCUGCCUGCAGUAAACUUCAAGAUGAAAUGAAUUCUGUUUCCAUGUUGAUUUGAUUCUUAGCUUCUCUUUGAGGACAGACAGUGAUGUCAGUUUUGGUCUCCUCAGUCUCUGUUUGGACCUGAAGACUCAUGAUUUGGGCUUUUUGGAGGAGUCUAUUAAUUAGAUGGAAAGGCAGAAAUGACUGAGUGGAAAUUCAUGGGGGUCAAAACAGAUAGUGAGUUUAUUACAAGGGAAAAUA
Molecule: long non-coding RNA, 1513 nt
Filed under: Coturnix japonica (Japanese quail)
Lineage: Eukaryota; Metazoa; Chordata; Aves; Galliformes; Phasianidae
Description: lncRNA (ENSCJPG00005010364.1)
Source: RNAcentral